RNAcentral lists this ribosomal RNA (329 nucleotides) under uncultured eukaryote. RNAcentral describes it as "partial 18S ribosomal RNA". It matches the Rfam family "Eukaryotic small subunit ribosomal RNA", at positions 1470 to 1796 of the family's 1831-position model. The record is from RNAcentral.
CCCUUAGAUGUCCUGGGCCGCACGCGCGCUACACUGAGUGUCUGAGAUACGAGUCUGCCUGGUCCGGCAAGGUCUAGGUAAUCGCUAAAAGACACAUCAUGCUUGGGAUAGAUUAUUGCAAAUAUUAAUCCUGAACGAGGAAUUCCUAGUAAGCGCAAGUCAACAGCUUGCGUUGAUUACGUCCCUGCCCUUUGUACACACCGCCCGUCGCUACUACUGAUUGGAUGUUUAAGCGAGGUUCUCGAACUGCUAGCGACUUAGCUUCGGUGAGGUCGCAGUGUGGGAAGUGAACCUAGCUUUGGUGCCUAGAGGAAGUAAAAGUCGUAACA